Non-coding RNA from Podarcis lilfordi (Lilford's wall lizard), 78 nucleotides. NCBI's taxonomy places the organism in Eukaryota, Metazoa, Chordata, Lepidosauria, Squamata, Lacertidae. The record is from the annotation of a GenBank genome assembly.
GCUGUGAUAGCUCAGUCGAUAGAGCAUGAGACUCUUAAUCACAAUGUCAUGGAUUCGACCCCCCCCCCAUCUAUUUCC